ACGCCCUUUUACCCCCUCUCUCAUCUCUUCUCUCUAUCUAAACCUAACCCUAGUGCCGCCCCUUCCCCCUUUCCCUCUCUCCUUCCUAGAUUGCCAAAAAUGGCAUCAAUUCAGAGAGGUCAGACGCAUGUCAGCCUUAACACAACCAAAUCAGUGCAACAUUUAAAGCUUCGUUGUCUUUUUCUUCCAAUUUCUACCAAACAACACCUACGAUGUUGCUGAGUGUGGGAUUGGAAGCACAAGGCUCCAAGUUUGACUCUUGAUAUGACUGCACAAAAAAGGUAGCAAUUUAUCUUGUUAUUAUUUUAUUUAUUUAUUCAUUCAAGUGUCAAUUUAUAUGAUAUGUUGCUUAGUUAAGUAUUAUCCUAUUAAUCUCAUAUUUAGUUCAAGUGUUUAUUCAUACUUGUAUGGUUCAAGUAAUGAUGAUGUAGUUGUUGUUAUUGGUUCCAAACUUUGGUCUUGUGGUGCUAAAACCCUCUUUAUGGUUUUAAGGAUAAUCAUAAUAGAAAUAUAUGCUCAUAUGAAGUUAAAAUAUUUAUAUUGUCUCAAGGAGUUAAUCACUUAGUUUAAAAGGGUUAAAAUCCUAAAAGAAGAGAAAAGGAUAAGAAGUUGAUAUGAACCUGCUUAAAUCCCUUCUUAUGAGUCUGUUAGUAUAAGAAUUAUGUGGAUUGGUAUUUGUUUGCCCAGGCUGGGACUUGUAUGAACACAUGAAAUAAUUUAAGUAUAUUUACUAAUAUCUGUGAAUGUCUUAUAUAUUUGAAUACUUCAGAAUGUGUUUGUUGAUUUGAUUGAAUGAGUCUAGAAGGUCAACAAGUGUGAGUGCACUUAAACAAGUCCAAAUCUGAUUAAGAAGCAUUUGAAGGUGAUUGGAUAAGACCUGGUCCCUGAAUUGCUCAAGUCUGUCUGAGUAAUGUUUGAGUUAGCCUAAAUCUGUCUGAAUAUAUAUAUGAACUAACUUGAACAUGAUUUUGACAUGGUUUGUUUGUUGCAAAUUUAGGUAAAACAUGGGAUAGUUAGAGAUCCUUAAUGAUGGUGUGUGAACCAACAAAUAAAAACAUACUGCAUCCUCUUAUCUUGAACUUUGAUCUAGUCUAGCUAAUCAAUAAUAAACUAGAAGAUCCUAGAGGCACUUUACUUGGUCUGUCCAGGAUUUAGAGUGUUUGAAAUGAAUUGUGUGCAUGAAACUGAAUUUUUCUAUUCUUUAAAAUUAGGCAUUGGUUCUUUUUUAAUCUAGAGCUUGAAUCAUAGGAAAGAAUAGGAAAAGAAUAAGUGUAGGUUGGGACCCCUUUGAUUCUUUGAUGUGUUGCUCCCUUUCCCCCCGUCUCUGUGUUUGACUUUGCCCUUUUUUGACUGAGUCUACCUAAAUUGCUUCAUAAGCAGUUCAUGAUUUACCUGGAAGUUGGUAUCAACAAAGAAAUGAUGGUAAGAAAUGAACCUACAAGUGAUUGUAUUUAGAGAAGAAAUAUGCUUGUUGUGGUUUUGUCUUGAUUUGCACUAUCCUGAAGAUCAACCUUAAAUUGGAUGUCUAUGUGGUUUUAAAUUCUGUGAAGGUUAAGAGGGAAUUCAAAAACGCUUUUAUAAUUAAGAUCCUAGGUUGAGUUAACUGGAAUUGUUAACUUGUGCCAAUGUAAACUCGGUGUUUAGCUGGGAUUUGAUUUAAAGGUAGUGUUAAACUAAUCUUAACCACAAAAGUCUCAGUGGUUUCCACUGGGUAUGAGGAUGAGGUAAGGAGUUGAGAGUGCCUUAUGAGAGUAAAAGGUAAGCUUAGGCAUGAACUGGAAGUAAUGACCAGUGGAGCCUUUGCUUCUUUUUUACUGAAAGUCAGGAAAGGGUUGGGGAGGUGAUGACCUCACCCUGUCCUGCUUCUCUUUUAGGACCCUGAGGUCCCCUUUUUCUCCUGAACCUCAUUCCUAUGGCUGUGGGAUACAUAGAGGUCUUAUGUUUGGUUAAAGAGAAGUUUAACCAUGCAUGGGAGGAUCUUUGAGAUCUUAUGCUACCAAAACCAAGUUAGAAUAAAGCAUAUCGGCCUAUCACAUUCUCUGUCAUGACCAAAGGGAUUAAAAACUGCACGAUCACCAGAAUUCUGGGGGAAAAUAACUAAGAGGCCAACCUAUGCCAAUAUUUAUUUAUGUCAAUGUUUAUCAAGUGUUAGAUGGGGAUUGGUUCAAAAUAAUAGUGUUUAUAGAGUCAUAAGUGUCCAAGGUCAAGCUAUGAACAACUUGAUAUAAGAGAAGCCUUUUAAAGACACUUCAAAGAGAGGAUUGAGAAGGGCCAAGUUCAACUUGGCUCAUGGUACCUCUCCUCCAAAUAAGGAGUGUCAUGACACUCUCUAUAAGUCUAUGGGGUGGUGCUUGUCAUAUGAAUGCAUUUGACUUUGCAACCCCAUCAUUAGAUCAAGGGGAAAGGGGUACCAUUGAGUGUAUCUUAUUCAAACAGUCUGAUAGGGACAAAGAUGGAAUCUGUCUGCGUGAAAUAAUUGAUUUUCUUUGAACUUGGAUUUGACAAAUUGAAGUCUUAAUGAUCAAAUGGUUUGUUUUGGAGUGAACACUAAAGCAUUGUAGCAUGUUUAAUUUGUUUGAACUGUUCUGUGUCAUCCCCUAUCUCUAAAUUUUUCUUUUCUUUUCUGUCUUGUGCAUUUGUUGCUUAAUGGAUUGAAUGAAUUGAGAUUUGAAGUAUUGCCCCUUUUUCUUCCCGGGAACUGUCUAGUUUGAUACUCUUCUGCACUACUUUGGUUGUUCAAAUUUGUUUGAAAUCCUGAGUUCUCUAAACUGAUGGACACCCCUAAGACUUUGAGGAACUGGAUGCAGCUUGAGGCUAUGCUAUUUGUUUUCUUUUUCCUGAAUUGAUGAGCCUUGUACUCUUUCUAUUUCUAUGCCUUUGGUUGAGCACCAAACUGUCAUCUUCUAUUUUUUUUUUCUUUGCUUGUGCUCAGUUUAUCAUUUGAGUGCACAUUUUUGUCUUCGUUGUUAGCUCUAUCCAGAGUCAGGAGCAGCCUAGUAUUUAAUAAAAAUUCUUGUAAUUGUCCUAAUUGACUGAUUAGACAUUCAGAGAUUGUAGUAAGCUUGAAUAAACCAUCAUAUCAUGAUAGUUUAAUCAUUUUGAAACUAAGUAUCAAUCUUAGCUUAGGUAUGAACAUUUCUUUAAGCUCAAAAGAUAAUCAGGUGGUAGAUUUGAUUAUGGACUUAGGAUUUAUGCUUAAGACUUAGGACUAGGUACAUAGGGAUAUACAUGUUAUAUACCCUUGAUAUACGCAGGUGAUAUACACAUGACCUGCGUAUAUCAUGGCAUAUAGGGUGUACAUUUGAAUAAGUCGGCUUUAUAAAAAUGAGUACAAAGGAGAUAGAACUCUUUAGGUUUAAAUGUCAGCCCAAUACUCAGCAUAAAUCUGAGCCUAGCCCAUCUCAUUUAGUGUAAGAAAUAGCCCAUAUUUACACUUAGCCAAAUAAAGAGCUCGGGCAGAACUUUAGAAGUGUAUCGAUGGCCCUUUAAUGCCCAAAUAUAAAACUGUACAUGUAUAUAUAUGUGUGUUUCAUUUUAUGUAUAUGCAUACUUAUAUAUAUAAUAGCGAUAAGUUCAGUAGUAUAAUUUCUAACCGAGUUUCCCCUUUUGUUUCUCCUCUUCAUUGCACGCCAAUUGGGGCUGGUCAAACCAAGCCUGUUGGGCUGAGGCCCAACAGACCAAUUCUUUCAAAUUAUGGUUGAGUCCAAUGAAGAAAUGGAAGCUAACAUAUAUAUUAAACGCGUAGAAGGUUCUAGCCAUGGGUGAAAAUGGCCAACUAGGGACUUGGUACACCCCUAGCCUGCCCUUGUCCUUUCUAUUUUUAUUUAUUCAUGCUCUCUUUUAUUUGUAAGUUUGUUGUAUUUGUACUUGUAAGAAUUUGUAAAAACCUCAUAAUCUAUUGGAAUCCUUAUUGUAUGA
This is a long non-coding RNA of Lycium barbarum (goji berry), 3918 nucleotides long. RefSeq lists it as uncharacterized. The transcript has 2 exons. The record is from RefSeq and is a predicted model, not a curated record. NCBI's taxonomy places the organism in Eukaryota, Viridiplantae, Streptophyta, Magnoliopsida, Solanales, Solanaceae.